Molecule: non-coding RNA, 21 nt
Filed under: Caenorhabditis elegans
Lineage: Eukaryota; Metazoa; Nematoda; Chromadorea; Rhabditida; Rhabditidae
Source: RNAcentral
UGUUGGAAAACGUUUUCGAAC